Molecule: long non-coding RNA, 1262 nt
Organism: Clupea harengus (Atlantic herring)
Lineage: Eukaryota; Metazoa; Chordata; Actinopteri; Clupeiformes; Clupeidae
Source: Ensembl
CAGAGGUGGAAGAAGGACAGAAAGCCCUUGAGAACGUCCUUGGACUCCGUGCUCAGUGUAUCCUGUUGGACACUUUCCAUCAUGGCACGAGUGACACAAACCAAAGACCCUGCCAUGGUCCACAGCUGCAGUCGCUCCAGGGAGGUCAAAGAGAACAGAAAUGCAAACGAAUCAAGUCUGCAAGAUGUGCAGCUCAAACAAAAUCCAGCUUGCUUAGGCUCCUGUCCAGCAGUGGCACCACCGAUGCCAGAGCUCCACUCCACAGUAGCACAGUCCCCAAGCAGGGGUGGCUGCUCCCCGAGUCUCUGGAACUGUUUCAAUCAAAUGCUGAUAAGCAGAUGCAAGUCCUUCACAAGCUUGGAGUAACAUUGGACGAAAAUAGAGAUAAAAAGAAGAAGAAGAAAAAAAGAAAACCUAAGGAGUUUCUGGGAAUGUCAACAGCAGAGUGGUUGAAGGCCAACAGUCUGGUUGCAAAGAGGCUUACUAUAUUAGAUGCUGUGGCACCAGCAGCCAUAGCACAUGAUGCUAAAUAUGUCCCCAUGCUGGAAAAACAUGUUUACUCAAAGGUCUUUAAUGAGGUAAGGAUCUUUGUUUUUAAUAUUAUGGCUUUUCCAAACCUGCCAUCGAAGGUCAAUCAUCACUGAUUGUUAAAGUUUUUUGUGAAGUGAAAGUCACAUGGAAGGGGCAGUGAUGUCAAGGAAACAGACACUGCUUUUUCUUCCCUGCGCAUUGAGUUCAUAAAGCGGUGGUGAAAACUGAUAGUGAGUACCUUUUUCUGCCUCCAGGGGGCAGUGCUGUAUCAGUUACGAUGGUAUUGUCAAUUUAGAGUCGAGUCUGAUAGUGGAGCUGAGGUGCCUUGUUUUCUGUGCCCUUUUCUCUUUCUUUUAGUGCCAUUGUUAUCACAAUCAAACAAAAUGCUGUUAGUUUUUUAAGGACAAAAGUAAAGCUGUCAUGUCAGCCAUCAUCUUAGAGAAAUGUUCAAUACUUCAUGUCAAAACAUUGGGGUACAACAAUACCCCCCGUGCACGUUGCAUUUGAUGUGUUCAACAGAACAGUGGUUUAUUAUGUGUAAAUCUAAUCCACUGACACAUUCGGUCCACAGGUGUUUGCUCUUCUCAAUGCAUUAUCAGGGUCUAUGAGGACACUUUACAUGGGGAAAAACACAAUGCGUUGUUUUGUGCUUUUUUGUGUGUUUCAUUUCAAAGAAUGUAAUUUAAAUGCAGGCGCUUGAGGCGGCUCUUUGUUAUUUGUUACAGUGCUGC